Molecule: long non-coding RNA, 366 nt
Organism: Etheostoma spectabile (orangethroat darter)
Lineage: Eukaryota; Metazoa; Chordata; Actinopteri; Perciformes; Percidae
Exons: 2
Source: RefSeq, a predicted model, not a curated record
GUUCCUUCCAGUGCAAUAAUAGUUUUAUGUUUAUUUGGUACCAUUUCAUUGCUAACAUCAGCCAUCAGGUUCCCAAACAUAUGCAAGCUAAUGUAAGUAAAGUAUCAGUGCUAUCGUUAUUCUGUAUAGUUGUAGAAGAGAAGCAACGGAGGUUUGUAUGUUUAAUAUAUUUCUCUGAGCAGUAUGAACAAUGUCAAUGAAACCGAAAUUAGCUCUUAGUAUCUCCGUCAUUUACACGCAGAUGUUCUAGCUGUAGCUAAUCUGUGUUACAAUUGCAUGACGUGAGUUGUCUGCCAGGGAAAUUACGACACAUAUGAUUACAUUUAUGUUACAAGGUACACAAUUCUUUUUCAUCAUUGACGCGAG